UCUCAUAAUUAUAGUCAGAGUUUAUUGUGCCUCUCCCUGUCUCCCCCCUCUUCCCACUCCCCCCACCCCCCUCCCCGUGUGUGUGUAUGCAGGGAGCUAGAGAAAGCUGGCAGCACUACCUGAAUAGCUACUGAAAGAGUGAGACUUCUCAGCUCCUGCUUCAUUACUGGCUAGCAGCUAUUCCAGCGUGUGCGAGCUCCUAACUGCUUCCUCCCAUCGCAAAGCCCUUGGCUGGAAGGCUUCUCAAGGGAAAGAGGGACAGUCUGGAGAAAACAAGAUUGAAAAGAGAAAUACUGCUGUCUGGAACACCUCUGUGUACCCCUGGGACACCAGCCUGUGUGCUGGAUUUCUUCUUCUUACCCUCUGUCUGGGACAAAUUUUGAAAGUUCAGUGAUCUGCUGCUGAGGAGUGGCACCUAUCAACUGAGCUGUUCUUGGGAGGUCUUUUUGUGGCAGCACUAGAGCUAUUUCUCCUCUUCUAAUGGACAUCACCAAAUUUUCCUUUUGUGCUUUUCCAUUUGGAUGGUGGAUGUUGUCUAGCCAGGUACUCCUCAUCUUGAUCCCCUGAAUUCAGAACCUGUCAAAACAUAAUCCCCAUCAGUGCAGAGGAGGGAAAACACAGGAACUUUGCCCAGGAAGGUCUAUUUCUGAUAGCUAUUAGAACAACACCAAAUGAUGUGCUAUUUUCAUUUAAAACUUGGCAUUUUUAAAGCUCUUUGCUGCUACAUUUCAGGUUCCAUUUUAGUACUUUCUUCAUAAGGAAGCAUAGAGUAGGCAUAAAAACUUUUUAAGAUAGUGUAGGAAAGUAACUGAAGUUCCUACAUUGCACUGUUGUCCAUUUUAUUCUGCUGACUGGUGCUCCUUUAGGUAUGAUCAUCUUUGUUUUAAUCCCUUCAGAUGUAUCCCUGUGAAAUAGCCAUAUGCCACAUUUUCAUGUCGUUUCCACUAUUUCCAUGAUCCUGUUUUUCACCUUUCUCUUUUAGCUUGAAUGUAGACCUACUCACUUUCUCUAUUUCUUUGACAUCAUCACAAGAAUUUCCUGUAAGCAAAAUUGUUUGCCCUAGAAGACCAAAUGCAAAAUUUCAAAUGGAAAUUAUAAGCCUCCAGCCUGCUUCUCUGUAGUUUGCUCACUAACCAGUGAGCUUGUACCAUUUUGGAUACCAUUUUGAGACAAAUCCAUCUUUUUGCUUCAGGUUAAGGAAAGAAUUGUCAAACUACAGAAACACUGUGAGCAAAAGAACUUGCACUGAACGGUUGCCUCUAACUUUCAUCCAUACUCUCCCUGUUGGAUGUGCAUUCCUGGUGUCUAGUAGUGGUGGGAUAACUCACUGGGAGUUUGUGCUCUGUCUCUGACAAUAGUAGGAACUCAAUAUGUUUGACAAUUCUAUCUUUCUGCCCAUUAAAUUGAAAUUAGUCAAUAUAUUCUAAAGUUAUAUGUCCAGCUCACAGACACAAAAGAACACAGGCAGCAUAGCAGGAUAAAUCUAAUUUCCUUAAAAAGACAGGGUAAAAUCCUUUUAGUUAUCCAUUCCUCUUCCUCUUGAACAAAUUCAAUUUCUUUCUCUUAUUCCCCCUUACUGUAAAACAGCAGCUAACUUCUUGCUACAGGUCUUUGAACAUUCAGCUGUACAUGCACCAGAAAACCUCUGUGAAAUGCUAACUACUUUUAGUGACAGUUUUUUUCAGAUAUUAUAGAAAAAAAGGCUAGAUUAGGCUAGACAGGCAGUUCUUUGGGUUUUUUUUUUUGAGAUGAUUAUAGGAUAAGCAGUGUUUUCAAAUUAUUACCCAUACCCUUUCUCUCUAAACCCUAAACUCUUUAAACUGUACAUAGCUAUGACCCUUCAUGUGACCUCUCAGAGUAUAAAACCUAUUGUUUUCUUUAUGCAUUUUUUUUUUUAUCUUAGCACAUUAUUUGUUGCAAACAUUAUUCAUCAUGCCUCUGCUUUCAAGCAUAUCACCCAUUCAAAAUCCCCCAGAAUAUUUUUUCUAUAUCACAACUCAUGAAUAACAGUAUUUUCCCCUUUUGACACACCAACACCUGAAAACAAUGAAAAUCAUUUUCCAGUAUGUGAAAAGAGCUGCAUAAACUCACCAUUUUGUAUUUAAUUAAAAUUAUAGACAGACAAGUAGUAGUUUUUUUAUAUUUUUCUGCAUGAUUUUACAUAGUGGUUAAACUCGAUUUUUUAUUAUUUUCUCUGAGGUCAGGUUCUAGUUACCUUUCAAAGGGUUGAUGGCAUGUUGACUUGCCAGGACACAGAGGAGCAGGGUAAGUGGGUGGCUGUGUAACCCUGCUGCCCUCUUACUAAGACCACAGUGUAGUGAAUAGGAAACACAGUGGAAUUUUUCAGUGUGAAAAACCUGCUGGUGAAAGUGUUCUGCCAGACUACAGCUGAGUCUGACGAACAGACGCAGUCUAACAGACUGCAGGGCUACUUGUUAGAGGGGCAACUUGCUUUGUUGUCUCCUCCAGACUUGAAAAAUAACACUGGAAAGAAUGGAGUCUCCCAGGAUCCUGGCUGCAAAACCAAGGAGUGGGUGCUGGCCUCUGGAUCAGUUUUAUCAGGAUUUUCAAACCUUCCUGUAUUUUCCACAAAGUCCCCUAAAUAUGGACAUUGUUCUUGCCAGUCUUGUUGGCUUUGGUGAUGUUUGGCCUGUAAAAAGUGUUCCAUGGAGAAACAUUAAAACAAGCAAAAUGUAUGUAAUUUCCUGAUAGUAAACCAGAGCUUUUUUGUAUUUCUUUAGCUUUAACACUGUGAUAGUCUUUGAUCAAUUAUCUCAUUUCUUUUCCCUUUUGCAAGAGUAACAUUCAUCUAUUUCAUUGUCAAAGUUUAUGAUAAGAUAGGAAAAGGCAGUGCUAAUGAAUUGCUUACAACAAAAGUAAUACUACUGAAAUCAUUAGCAACAAAAGUACUUUGUGAUUGGAGGCACUUCUGGAAAAUUACUAUUAGAUUCUCUUUACUGCAGGCCAGCUAGGAAAAUGUCAGACUUCUCAUUUCAAAUAUCUGAUGUAGUUAUGUGCAUUUUCUUCCUUCUGAAGGUUCAUCCUUAUGUGAAUAUUUGUACUUACUGUCCUUCAGAGUGGCUAGCACAGAGUUUCCAGUUUUGCAGCUUUACAUAAAAGUACAGCUAGGAUUUAAGAUGUGCCAUAUUUGCCAAAAUCCGAUAGUACUUUCCCAUAAAUGUAUGAAAUAAAACACUUCCUGAGCUGGCUGUCUAGUAUGUGUGUGCCAUCAUGCUAUUUAUGUUACUGCGCUCCUGAUAACGAAUACAUAAGCAUAUGGUUUUUUUCAGAUAAGAAUCAAGUUGAUAAAUAUUUAUCUGACUUCUUUCAUGUUUAGGCUGGAAAUCACUCAAGUAAAGAAAAGCAAAGCAAAGCAAAGUUGAAUUUUGUGCAUAUGGUGCCACUCCUUGCCUAUUCAGCCCCUCCCCUGUUGAGGACAAGGGCUGGAGAUGAAGUUAUGACAAUGCUUUGGAGCUCUGGUCUUUGGCUGAUAUUACUAUAGCAAAAAUAGAGACAUAGAUAUCAAUUCUGCCCAAUAUAGAUGUGCAGCUGGUGGCCUUGUCUGCUGGCCACAACAGCAGCAGUGUCUGGCCAUAGACUACAAAGAUGGUAAGAAUAAAAUGAAGAAAGCACAUGAGAAAUCAAGUGCAAAAUCCUAGAGAUCAUAGAGCGGGAGAAUGGUGAGAAAACCAAUAAAUGUUUCAAUCACACCAGGAGCAAGAGGUCACUAAGAGGUUUAGAAAUGUUCUUUGAGAAGGAGCAAGCAAUUUAUUGACACAAAAAAUAUUUUCUAGGUAGCACACUAUCUCCAAAAAUUGGUCCUUUUAUCUAUGAAGUGGGAUGGGAAGAAGUCAGAAACAGUCAAACAUAUUCUUGCAAGGAUGAAAAGGGAGGAAAGUAAAAAUUCAAGAUCUGCAAAAGAAGGGAUUAAAUAUAUAUCAAUUCCAAGAAAAUCUAGUGUACAAUAAAAAAUUAAGUAUGAUAGGAAAUUAGUCACAUCAGUUGGAUGUGAAAGUAUUUUUUUGGUAUGUAAACCAUGCAUUUGGAGUCUGAAGACCAAGAGCAUGAAAAGAAGUACCAUCUUUUAAUUUCAUCAUCCAGUGUAUUCAGUGUUCUAUGACUGUAAGCAAACUCUUCCUCGCUGACAUGCUAUGCUAAACAAGAUCCUAUAGCCUCCAUUCUACAUAAUCAACAGCCUGCUUUUUAUGAAAUAUGAUGUUUCUGUUCAAAUGAAGGAUGCUGAGUGAUUGACAGAUGCUGAAUGCUUUACUUCCACAUUUAAUGUCAUCUUUAAUACCAUCAGAUCUGUGUGCAUGUGCAUGUUGUGUUCUUAUGUGGGUGCAUGUGUCUUGGCAGUACCAUAAGGAGCUGGAAAAAUUCUGUUUGGAAACAGAAGAUGCUCAACAGUAACCAGAUAGUCUAAACCAUCAGUGAAUAUGUGGGAUCCCUCCUCUGCCUGAUUUGGUCCACAGAUUUGGAUAUAGGCUUCCUAUCUCCCACAUGAGUGUCCUGGGCUAUUAGUUCUGCUGUUGUAGACCUUUUUCAUUCCACGCUGAUAGAGGUUGUAUUCAACAUUUAUUAUAUCUGCACAAAAGAGAAAAAGGUCUUGAAACUUCACACUGUCAGCACGUACCAAUAAUGUGCCAAAGGGUCCAGGUUCAUUCCAGUGUGUUUUAGUAUGUGUGCACAGUGGCUUGUCUUCAAUGUGCUCAGAGCCAUAAACAAACAGAGUGGAUCACUAUUUCUAGCAGAGAUGUGAAAGACUGGAGCAUCCCAGAGAAGCAGUUAAUACCUGCCUCUCUCAGCUCCCACAGCCAUGUUGUCACACAAGAUCAAUCUGAGGCACCUCUUGCUUUGCAUGGAACCCCUGCUGGUGACCUGAAAGAUCUCUGGCAGCAGUUUAGUGAAGAAGCUGCACUUUCCAGCCUCUGAACUCAACAGGAACCAUAGUCACAAGGAGUUUGUAUUCACAGUUGUAUGUAAGCAAGAGUUUCUUUGCAUUGUGUGCCUACACCCUACAUAUUUUGGCAUUUCUGGGACGUUUUUGCAGAAUGGUAGGCAUCUGAUGUUACAUCUCUGUUCUCUGCACCUUUGGUAUGUGCAUCCUUUGAUAUCUAUAACUGUCUGAAAAUGAAGGAUUUUCUCCUCUACUGACAAUGCAACAAAUCCUGGUGCAGCAAUUACUCCUCCCUGUGUGUGCAUGAGGUGCUCACUCAUGCUCAGUGAUGUUACCCUCGGUACUCAGUGAAAAGUUAUGCUUGGUACUCACUGCAAGGAACAUGGCACACAAAGAAGAGAGAAGGUACUGAAAGCAAUCUCAGGGAAAGGCAGCUUUGUCAGAUCAAGGCAAAGUGGGGGCUAAAAAUAUUGGAAUGGGCAGAACACACACACAGAUGGGAAAAUGCAAGUACCUCUAGACCAAGGAAAGGUAUGUGUUAUAAAUUUGACAGAUAAAUCCUCACCUAGCAGAGUGUGCCUUGAUAAUGAAAAGGAAAUAUACAGUUAAUUGUGAAUCACAGCAGUCAUGUCCCACUUUAGUUUCAACUAUUAAAGAUGGACGAGUUAAUUACCACCUAGUUAUCUAACAGAAAGAUUCACCAUAUAAAAUACCCUUGUGGAAAACAAAGUCAGCAUGGUUUCACCUCCUGUUCUUAAUGCAGAAGAAUCAGAGAAUUGUAAGCUUGUUAUGUGAUCAGUAACUGCCAGAGUGGAAUAAAAAUACAGUCAGAAAACAUGACUAUAUACCCCAAAGGUUUCCAUGAAAACAUCUCACACAAAACUACAAGGAAAAAAUAUUCAGAGGUUUUUUUGAGUAGGAGACAAUUUUCCAAAAAUUACUGCAGGAAUAUUGCUCAUGGAAUAAUAGAAAUUCAGCAAAAAAUAUGUUUUUCACAAAUUUCACUCCUUACUUCAUCUCCAUUGAUUGCAUAAAUAUGGUCUAAAAUGGCAGCACCAUUACUUGGUGUCCAGGUGCUCUCACAGGGGCCACCACAACCCAGGGAUCACCGAGCAGUUGAAGGCAGGCACAGACUCAGCAUCCCUGAGCCACCUUUGAGUCCAGGCCUGAUGUUGAUACCUAUGUUACACUGCCACUCGUGCUGGUUCCCAGCCCUCAGACACUAGGGGCCAAAUAGCUGGGUAAUAGAUUAAUAAUUUCACCUCUCUGAUUGCUAUGAUGAGGGAGCUUAAGGCUGGUGCAGGUUUGAUUGGACCAGACACCCUAAACCCACCUUGAAGAGGAACGACUUUGUUAGCUCAGCUCCUGUGCUGGGAUAAAUGGUUAAGUCUCCACUGAUGUCAGGGAGAUUCAGCCAUUGGCACCAGAUAAACAGCUGGAUUGCUGAGAGCACACCCCUGUGCUCUAACAAGCAGCUUUGCAGCAGCAGCUGCACAGAGAUCCAGAAACAGCCUUCCACAGCCUGGGCAGAGGACUUGGAGUUAAGUUCAUCUCAGUGGGAAGUAUUCCUUUGCAUAUCUUCUGGUACACAUGAAAGAGCAUAGCUACCUGUUGUUUUGUGGAGUGAGCAUGAAGAGAACUCUAUACUGCAAACAGAAGGUGUGAGCAUCAUUCCCUUUGAAGAUGAAACCAGAACUAUAGACUCUAGGAGCAAAAGUGUCAGGAGCAUCAUUAGUAACUUUCCUGUUUCUUCAGCACACAGUUGAAAGGCUGCUGUCAUGGCAAUUCUAAAAUAUCUCCUUUGAAAUUAUUUUAGAUACCUUUUUUGCACUUAACCUUAUGGUUUUCCAUCUACCUUUUUUUUUUUCUUUUCAGCUCAAUUUGUGUAGCAUUCCCUUUAUUUUAAUUCCUUAUAUUUAUUUCCUAAUAUUUAAUUUUGUAACACUGAACUGGGUUUGGUUUUACAAAGCAAAAUCCAAAGGUAUGAGAACGAUAAGAGUGAGAUGACUGGAUAGAUAGGCAGGCAGGCAGACAGACACUGAGAUUUUCUAUCCUUAUAGCUUAGCAAAUCAAACCCUGGUUAACUUGUCUUAUUUAUCUCAUACUGCUUGUACCUCCUGGUCAAGAGAGUAAACUUUUUAUCCUAUUUGCUUUGAAGGUGACAUCACAGAGCAGUCUGAACAUCAGAAAUAGAACUGUACCCUAGCAGAUGCCAGCUGAGUAAAAUCUUGGGCCAUUUUGCACAAAACAAAGUAAAAAUGUUGAUAUUUUAAAACACAGUGGAACUGAUCAAGGAUGUAGGAUUCUGAGUACUAAAUGUUCUGGACUCGGGCCUAUUUGUGUAUUAGUAGGAAAUGUAGGCAGCCAAGAAGCAAUCUGAUUCUGUUCAUUACAAGGAAAAACUUCUGUUUGCAGGUAUUCUCAUGAUAGGAAAAGGCAGAGACAUGCUUUUGAAACCACCACAUUGUUGUCUCAGGUAUGGGGGAGGGUGUGUGGGGAACAGGAGAUAUUUCUUGUAACCAGUGGUGCUUUUAUUGAAUACAUGAUGUACAUUCUAAAUGGCUUCAAUUAUCUGUAUG
Molecule: long non-coding RNA, 7476 nt
Organism: Parus major (Great Tit)
Lineage: Eukaryota; Metazoa; Chordata; Aves; Passeriformes; Paridae
Exons: 3
Source: RefSeq, a predicted model, not a curated record